UCCACGCCGUAAACGAUGAUCACUCGCUGUUAGCGAUACACAGUUAGCGGCUAAGCAAAAGCAUUAAGUGAUCCACCUGGGGAGUACGGCCGCAAGGCUGAAACUCAAAGGAAUUGACGGGGGCCCGCACAAGCGGAGGAACAUGUGGUUUAAUUCGAUGAUACGCGAGGAACCUUACCUGGGCUUAAAUGUAGAGUGCAUUCUGCCGAAAGGCGGAUUUUCUUCGGAACUCUUUGCAAGGUGCUGCAUGGUUGUCGUCAGCUCGUGCCGUGAGGUGUCGGGUUAAGUCCCAUAACGAGCGCAACCCUUAUCGUUAGUUGCCAGCGGGUAAAGCCGGGAACUCUAGCGAAACUGCCGGUGUAAACCGAGAGGAAGGUGGGGAUGACGUCAAAUCAGCACGGCCCUUAUGUCCAGGGCUACACACGUGUUACAAUGGCCGGUACAGAGGGGAGCUAUGCUGUGAGGCAAUGCGAAUCUCAAAAGCCGGUCUCAGUUCGGAUCGGAGUCUGCAACUCGACUCCGUGAAGCUGGAUUCGCUAGUAAUCGCGCAUCAGCCAUGGCGCGGUGAAUACGUUCCCGGGCCUUGUACACACCGCCCGUCAAGCCAUGGAAGUUGGGGGUACCUGAAGUCCGUAACCGCAAGGAGCGGCCUAGGGUAAAACCAGUGACUGGGGCUAAGUCGUAACAAGGUAACC
This 695-nucleotide ribosomal RNA is filed under the name uncultured bacterium. RNAcentral describes it as "bacterial SSU rRNA". It matches the Rfam family "Bacterial small subunit ribosomal RNA", at positions 794 to 1501 of the family's 1533-position model. The record is from RNAcentral.